RNAcentral lists this microRNA (23 nucleotides) under Caenorhabditis briggsae. Its description in RNAcentral is "cbr-miR-7594b". Lineage: Eukaryota; Metazoa; Nematoda; Chromadorea; Rhabditida; Rhabditidae. The record is from miRBase by way of RNAcentral.
UGAGGUAGACGUUUAGCCCGAAA